Molecule: non-coding RNA, 134 nt
Organism: Hordeum vulgare subsp. vulgare (domesticated barley)
Lineage: Eukaryota; Viridiplantae; Streptophyta; Magnoliopsida; Poales; Poaceae
Source: Rfam
GUAGUACUCCCUCCGUCCCAAAAUUAUUGUCUUAGAUUUGUUUAGAUACGAAUGUAUCUAGUCAAAUUUUAGUAUUUAGAUACAUCCAUUUUAGACAAAGCUAAGACAAGAAUUUUGCACAGGGGAAGUGUAUA